The sequence is a transfer RNA, 75 nucleotides long. It matches the Rfam family "tRNA". Rfam says of the family: Transfer RNA (tRNA) molecules are approximately 80 nucleotides in length.
GGCCCCUUCGUCUAGUGGUUAGGACACCAGAUUCUCACUCUGGAAACAGGGGUUCGAUUCCCCUAGGGGCUGCUA